GAAGGUCACGGCGAGACGAGCCGUUUAUCAUUACGAUAGGUGUCAAGUGGAAGUGCAGUGAUGUAUGCAGCUGAGGCAUCCUAACAGACCGGUAGACUUGAACCUUGUUCCUACAUGACCCGAUCAAUUCGAUCAGGCACUCGCCAUCUAUUUUCAUUAUUCAACUCUUUGACAACACGAAAAACCAUUGUUCAACUCUUUGACAACAUGAAAAACCAAAAGCUCUGCCCUCCCCUCUAUCUAUCCAAGGGAUGGAAGGGCAG
This 263-nucleotide ribosomal RNA is filed under the name Prunus japonica. RNAcentral's name for it is "4.5S ribosomal RNA". Lineage: Eukaryota; Viridiplantae; Streptophyta; Magnoliopsida; Rosales; Rosaceae. The record is from RNAcentral. RNAcentral also lists the same sequence under 1 other name.